CGUAGGUCCCGAGCGUUGUCCGGAUUUAUUGGGCGUAAAGCGAGCGCAGGCGGUUUGAUAAGUCUGAAGUUAAAGGCUGUGGCUCAACCAUAGUUCGCUUUGGAAACUGUCAAACUUGAGUGCAGAAGGGGAGAGUGGAAUUCCAUGUGUAGCGGUGAAAUGCGUAGAUAUAUGGAGGAACACCGGUGGCGAAAGCGGCUCUCUAGUCUGUAACUGACGCUGAGGCUCGAAAGCGUGGGGGAGCGAACAGGAUU
This 254-nucleotide ribosomal RNA is filed under the name uncultured bacterium. RNAcentral's name for it is "partial 16S ribosomal RNA". It matches the Rfam family "Bacterial small subunit ribosomal RNA", at positions 526 to 779 of the family's 1533-position model. The record is from RNAcentral.